GGUUGCGGCCAUUAUCCUGGUGGGAAAAAAUACGGCCUUCCCGUCCGAUCAGCCAUAGUCCAAGCACCAGGAGAGCCUAGUUAGGUAUUGUAGUGGGGAGACCCAUACGAGAAUCCUGGGUGCUGCAAUC
This 130-nucleotide ribosomal RNA is filed under the name Yarrowia lipolytica. Lineage: Eukaryota; Fungi; Ascomycota; Dipodascomycetes; Dipodascales. The record is from RNAcentral.